UACGGAGGGAGCUAGCGUUGUUCGGAAUUACUGGGCGUAAAGCGCACGUAGGCGGAUUUGUAAGUCAGGGGUGAAAUCCCGGGGCUCAACCUCGGAACUGCCUUUGAUACUGCAAAUCUCGAGUCCGGAAGAGGUGAGUGGAAUUCCUAGUGUAGAGGUGAAAUUCGUAGAUAUUGGGAAGAACACCGGUGGCGAAGGCGGCAACCUGGUCCUUUACUGACGCUGAGGCGCGAAAGCGUGGGGAGCAAACAGG
RNAcentral lists this ribosomal RNA (253 nucleotides) under uncultured bacterium. RNAcentral's name for it is "partial 16S ribosomal RNA". It matches the Rfam family "Bacterial small subunit ribosomal RNA", at positions 524 to 776 of the family's 1533-position model. The record is from RNAcentral.